This is a long non-coding RNA of Mesocricetus auratus (golden hamster), 551 nucleotides long. RefSeq lists it as uncharacterized. The transcript has 3 exons. NCBI's taxonomy places the organism in Eukaryota, Metazoa, Chordata, Mammalia, Rodentia, Cricetidae. The record is from RefSeq and is a predicted model, not a curated record.
GGAGGUCAGUGCGGGUGGAUCUUGAACCUUUAUUGUCCAGCCAGGCUUUAUCCACUCUUUGAUUUUUGCAUGCAGACAUAAAUGUUGCUGCUCCUAAGACCAUGCUUCCCUGCCAGCUACCGUGCCUUCUCUGCCAAGAUGAACUGUAUCCCCCUGAGUUUGUACUGCUCUAAACACAUAUGCCAGAGCAUAUGUUGACUCUUCCCAUCUUCAUAAUGCUCUCACCAGGUUGAUCUGGGUGGCUAACUUGGCUGGAUUUAGAACCACAUAGGAGACAAACCUUUGGACGUACCUGUGAGGAUGUUAUAGAGAAUAUCAACUAAAGAGAGGAGAUCACUCUGGAUGCGGGCAACUUUGUUCCACAGGUACAGGUAAAGGGCUGAACGAGACAGAGAAAGCAAACAGAACUCCAUUUUUCCUCUCUUUUGGCUCCCUGGCUGUGCACCGUGGCUGGACGUGAGCAGCUGCUUCACACUCCUGCUCCAUGCCUUCCCUACCAAUAUAGAUGGCACCUUCAAAUUGUCAGUCAAAAUAAACCCUUCUUUACACUG